AGCCAUGCAUGUCUAAGCACAUGCCUUAAUACGGUGAAGCCGCGAAUAGCUCAUUACAACAGCCAUCGUUUACUAGAAAAUCGUUGUCCUACUUGGAUAACUGUGGCAAUUCUAGAGCUAAUACAUGCAAAAAAGCUCAGACUGAAAGGAAUGAGCGCAUUUAUUAGAAUAAAAACCAAUCGGGUCUAAAAGCCCGUCGUUUGGUGAAUCUGAAUAACUUUGCUGAUCGCACGGUCCUAGUACCGGCGACGUAUCUUUCAAGUGUCUGCCUUAUCAACUUUCGAUGGUAGGUUAUACGCCUACCAUGGUAGUAACGGGUAACGGAGAAUAAGGGUUCGACUCCGGAGAGGGAGCCUGAGAAACGGCUACCACAUCCAAGGAAGGCAGCAGGCGCGCAAAUUACCCACUUCCAGAACGGAGAGGUAGUGACGAAAAAUAACGAGACAGUCCUCUCUGAGGUCUGUCAUCGGAAUGGGUACAAUUUAAAUCCUUUAACGAGGAUCUAUUGGAGGGCAAGUCUGGUGCCAGCAGCCGCGGUAAUUCCAGCUCCAAUAGCGUAUAUUAAAGUUGUUGCGGUUAAAACGCUCGUAGUUGAAUCUGCGGCCUGGGAGAACGGACCCCCGAAAGGGUGGUAACUGUUACUCCUAGCCUAAAUUUUUAGUCUACUCUAUGGUGCCCUUAACCGGGUGCUUAGAGUGACUGGAACGUUUACUUUGAAAAAAUUAGAGUGCUUAAAGCAGGCAAAUUUGCCUGAAUAAGGUGCAUGGAAUAAUGGAAUAGGACCUCGGUUCUAUUUUGUUGGUUUUCGGAGCCUGAGGUAAUGAU
RNAcentral lists this ribosomal RNA (825 nucleotides) under Longidorus sp. 3 SAS-2014. Its description in RNAcentral is "SSU rRNA". It matches the Rfam family "Eukaryotic small subunit ribosomal RNA", at positions 47 to 869 of the family's 1831-position model. The record is from RNAcentral. Lineage: Eukaryota; Metazoa; Nematoda; Enoplea; Dorylaimida; Longidoridae.